GCUUCUAAAGGAUAGCAGUCAUCCGUUGGUCUUAGGCUCCAUUAACCCUUGGUGCAAAUCCAAGUGGAAGCU
This 72-nucleotide transfer RNA is filed under the name Taaningichthys minimus. Its description in RNAcentral is "tRNA-Leu (CUN)". The record is from RNAcentral. Lineage: Eukaryota; Metazoa; Chordata; Actinopteri; Myctophiformes; Myctophidae.